This 700-nucleotide ribosomal RNA is filed under the name uncultured Neisseriales bacterium. RNAcentral describes it as "bacterial SSU rRNA". It matches the Rfam family "Bacterial small subunit ribosomal RNA", at positions 80 to 770 of the family's 1533-position model. Lineage: Bacteria; Pseudomonadati; Pseudomonadota; Betaproteobacteria; Neisseriales. The record is from RNAcentral.
UUGCUUCUCUGUCGGCGAGUGGCGAACGGGUGAGUAUAGCAUCGGAACGUGCCAAGUAGUGGGGGAUAACCAAACGAAAGUUUGGCUAAUACCGCGUAAGCUCCAAGGAGGAAAGUAGGGGACCUAAAUAAGGCCUUACGCUAUUUGAUCGGCCGAUGUCGGAUUAGCUAGUUGGUGGGGUAAUGGCUCACCAAGGCAAUGAUCCGUAGCGGGUCUGAGAGGACGAUCCGCCACACUGGGACUGAGACACGGCCCAGACUCCUACGGGAGGCAGCAGUGGGGAAUUUUGGACAAUGGGGGAAACCCUGAUCCAGCCAUGCCGCGUGUAUGAAGAAGGCCUUAGGGUUGUAAAGUACUUUUGUUAGGGAAGAAAAGCUAGUUUUUAAUAAAAAUUAGUGGUGACGGUACCUAAAGAAUAAGCACCGGCUAACUACGUGCCAGCAGCCGCGGUAAUACGUAGGGUGCAAGCGUUAAUCGGAAUUAUUGGGCGUAAAGCGAGUGCAGACGGUUACUUAAGCCAGAUGUGAAAUCCCCAAGCUUAACUUGGGACGUGCAUUUGGAACUGGGUGACUAGAGUGUGUCAGAGGGAGGUAGAAUUCCACAUGUAGCGGUGGAAUGCGUAGAGAUGUGGAGGAAUACCGAUGGCGAAGGCAGCCUCCUGGGAUAACACUGACGUUGAGGCUCGAAAGCGUGGGGAGCA